CAACAGCGUAUAUUAAAGUUGUUGCAGUUAAAACGCUCGUAGUCGGAUUUCGGGGCGGGCGGGCCGGUCUGCCGAUGGGUAUGCACUGGUCUGGCCGUCCUUCCUUCCGGAGACCGUGCGUGCUCUUAACUGAGUGCGCUCGGGAGACGGAUCGUUUACUUUGAAAAAAUCAGAGUGUUUCAAGCAGGCAGCUCGCUCUUGCAUGGAUUAGCAUGGGAUAAUGAAAUAGGACUUUGGUGCUAUUUUGUUGGUUUCGAACACCGAAGUAAUGAUGAGAAGGGACAGUCAGGGGCACUCGUAUUCCGCCGAGAGAGGUGAAAUUCUCAGACCAGCGGAAGACGAACCACUGCGAAAGCAUUUGCCAGGGAUGUUUUCACUGA
RNAcentral lists this ribosomal RNA (380 nucleotides) under uncultured eukaryote. RNAcentral's name for it is "partial 18S ribosomal RNA". It matches the Rfam family "Eukaryotic small subunit ribosomal RNA", at positions 592 to 976 of the family's 1831-position model. The record is from RNAcentral.